GACGAACGCUGGCGGCGUGCUUAACACAUGCAAGUCGAACGGAAAGGCCCUGCUUGCAGGGUAUUCGAGUGGCGAACGGGUGAGUAACACGUGGGUGAUCUGCCCUGCACUUCGGGAUAAGCCUGGGAAACUGGGUCUAAUACCGGAUAGGAGCCAUUUUUAGUGUGAUGGUUGGAAAGUUUUUUCGGUGUAGGAUGAGCUCGCGGCCUAUCAGCUUGUUGGUGGGGUAAUGGCCUACCAAGGCGGCGACGGGUAGCCGGCCUGAGAGGGUGGACGGCCACAUUGGGACUGAGAUACGGCCCAGACUCCUACGGGAGGCAGCAGUGGGGAAUAUUGCACAAUGGGCGCACGCCUGAUGCAGCGACGCCGCGUGGGGGAUGACGGCCUUCGGGUUGUAAACUCCUUUCGCUAGGGACGAAGCUUUUUGUGACGGUACCUAGAUAAGAAGCACCGGCUAACUACGUG
RNAcentral lists this ribosomal RNA (465 nucleotides) under uncultured bacterium. RNAcentral describes it as "partial 16S ribosomal RNA". It matches the Rfam family "Bacterial small subunit ribosomal RNA", at positions 28 to 507 of the family's 1533-position model. The record is from RNAcentral.